UACGUAGGGACCAAGCGUUGUUCGGAUUUACUGGGCGUAAAGGGCGCGUAGGCGGCGUGGUAAGUCAGCUGUGAAAUCUCCGAGCUUAACUCGGAACGGUCAGCUGAUACUGCUGUGCUAGAGUACAGAAAGGGCAAUCGGAAUUCUUGGUGUAGCGGUGAAAUGCGUAGAUAUCAAGAGGAACACCUGAGGCGAAGGCGGGUUGCUAGGCUGAUACUGACGCUGAGGCGCGAAAGCUAGGGGAGCAAACGGG
Molecule: ribosomal RNA, 253 nt
Filed under: uncultured bacterium
Lineage: Bacteria
Description: partial 16S ribosomal RNA
Rfam family: Bacterial small subunit ribosomal RNA
Source: RNAcentral